GACGAACGCUGGCGGCGUGCUUAACACAUGCAAGUCGAACGGAAAGGCCCUGCUUUUGUGGGGUGCUCGAGUGGCGAACGGGUGAGUAACACGUGAGUAACCUGCCCUUGACUUUGGGAUAACUUCAGGAAACUGGGGCUAAUACCGGAUAGGAGCUCCUGCUGCAUGGUGGGGGUUGGAAAGUUUCGGCGGUUGGGGAUGGACUCGCGGCUUAUCAGCUUGUUGGUGGGGUAGUGGCUUACCAAGGCUUUGACGGGUAGCCGGCCUGAGAGGGUGACCGGCCACAUUGGGACUGAGAUACGGCCCAGACUCCUACAGGAGGCAGCAGUGGGGAAUAUUGCACAAUGAGCGGAAGCCUGAUGCAGCAACGCCGCGUUCGGAAUGACGGCCUUCGGGUUGUAAACCGCUUUCGCCUGUGACGAAGCGUGAGUGACGGUAAUGGGUAAAGAAGCACCGGCUAACUACGUG
Molecule: ribosomal RNA, 468 nt
Filed under: uncultured bacterium
Lineage: Bacteria
Description: partial 16S ribosomal RNA
Rfam family: Bacterial small subunit ribosomal RNA
Source: RNAcentral